Molecule: ribosomal RNA, 253 nt
Filed under: uncultured bacterium
Lineage: Bacteria
Description: partial 16S ribosomal RNA
Rfam family: Bacterial small subunit ribosomal RNA
Source: RNAcentral
UACGUAGGUGGCAAGCGUUGUCCGGAAUUAUUGGGCGUAAAGCGCGCGCAGGCGGUCCUUUAAGUCUGAUGUGAAAGCCCACGGCUCAACCGUGGAGGGUCAUUGGAAACUGGAGGACUUGAGUGCAGAAGAGGAAAGCGGAAUUCCACGUGUAGCGGUGAAAUGCGUAGAGAUGUGGAGGAACACCAGUGGCGAAGGCGGCUUUCUGGUCUGUAACUGACGCUGAGGCGCGAAAGCGUGGGGAGCAAACAGG